GGCUUGUCCAAAGGUAGUACAUUAUCUCAAUUGUUUGUUCAUAGUCAGUUAUAGAUCAAAUUCCUUGUUCAACUCUUUCCCCCUUCUCACUACUGUACUUGACUAGUCUUUA
Aotus nancymaae (Ma's night monkey) is the source of this 112-nucleotide unclassified non-coding RNA. It matches the Rfam family "Y RNA". From Rfam's summary of the family: Y RNAs are components of the Ro ribonucleoprotein particle (Ro RNP), in association with Ro60 and La proteins. The Y RNAs and Ro60 and La proteins are well conserved, but the function of the Ro RNP is not known. Lineage: Eukaryota; Metazoa; Chordata; Mammalia; Primates; Aotidae. The record is from Ensembl.